UACAUAAAAGUGUAUGUUGCACGUAAAUUUUUGAUAUUUAAAGGUUUAGUUAAAUUCUAGGUUAUGUAA
RNAcentral lists this transfer RNA (69 nucleotides) under Himalopsyche malenanda. Its description in RNAcentral is "tRNA-Gln". The record is from RNAcentral. Lineage: Eukaryota; Metazoa; Arthropoda; Insecta; Trichoptera; Rhyacophilidae.